AACGAACGCUGGCGGCAGGCUUAACACAUGCAAGUCGAACGGCAGCACGGGUGCUUGCACCUGGUGGCGAGUGGCGAACGGGUGAGUAAUACAUCGGAACGUACCUUAUCGUGGGGGAUAACGCAGCGAAAGCUGUGCUAAUACCGCAUACGCCCUGAGGGGGAAAGCGGGGGAUCGCAAGACCUCGCGCGAUUAGAGCGGCCGAUGCCUGAUUAGCUUGUUGGUGGGGUAAAAGCCCACCAAGGCGACGAUCAGUAGCUGGUCUGAGAGGACGAUCAGCCACACUGGGACUGAGACACGGCCCAGACUCCUACGGGAGGCAGCAGUGGGGAAUUUUGGACAAUGGGGGCAACCCUGAUCCAGCAAUGCCGCGUGAGUGAAGAAGGCCUUCGGGUUGUAAAGCUCUUUUGUCAGGGAAGAAACACCGGCUCUAACACAGUCCGGGAAUGACGGUACCUGAAGAAUAAGCACCGGCUAACUACGUGCCAGCCGCCGCUGUAA
RNAcentral lists this ribosomal RNA (501 nucleotides) under uncultured bacterium. RNAcentral describes it as "partial 16S ribosomal RNA". It matches the Rfam family "Bacterial small subunit ribosomal RNA", at positions 29 to 523 of the family's 1533-position model. The record is from RNAcentral.